This is a non-coding RNA of Brachypodium distachyon (stiff brome), 105 nucleotides long. Lineage: Eukaryota; Viridiplantae; Streptophyta; Magnoliopsida; Poales; Poaceae. The record is from Rfam.
GAUGGCAGUGACGACUUGCUAAUAUUCAAGCUCAACAGACCAAAUCACAGGUCAUCUCUUCAGAGUAUGAUCUGUAUGCCGAGUAUCCCGCUGAACUGAGCCAUC